UCCGAGUUGACCCCGGCAGUCUCCUAUGAGUCCCCACCAUUACGUGCUGGCAACAUAGGACGAGGGUUGCGCUCGUUGCGGGACUUAACCCAACAUCUCACGACACGAGCUGACGACAACCAUGCACCACCUGUUCACAGACCCUUGCGGACUCCACAUCUCUGUGGGAUUUCUGUGAAUGUCAAGCCUUGGUAAGGUUCUUCGCGUUGCAUCGAAUUAAUCCGCAUGCUCCGCCGCUUGUGCGGGCCCCCGUCAAUUCCUUUGAGUUUUAGCCUUGCGGCCGUACUCCCCAGGCGGGGCACUUAAUGCGUUAGCUACGGCGCGGAAAACGUGGAAUGUCCCCCACACCUAGUGCCCAACGUUUACGGCAUGGACUAC
RNAcentral lists this unclassified non-coding RNA (378 nucleotides) under uncultured Micrococcales bacterium. RNAcentral's name for it is "contains 16S-23S intergenic spacer region". The record is from RNAcentral. Lineage: Bacteria; Bacillati; Actinomycetota; Actinomycetes; Micrococcales.